CCUACGGGAGGCAGCAGUGGGGAAUCUUGCGCAAUGGGCGAAAGCCUGACGCAGCCAUGCCGCGUGAAUGAUGAAGGUCUUAGGAUUGUAAAAUUCUUUCACCGGGGACGAUAAUGACGGUACCCGGAGAAGAAGCCCCGGCUAACUUCGUGCCAGCAGCCGCGGUAAUACGAAGGGGGCUAGCGUUGCUCGGAAUUACUGGGCGUAAAGGGAGCGUAGGCGGACAUUUAAGUCAGGGGUGAAAUCCCGGGGCUCAACCUCGGAAUUGCCUUUGAUACUGGGUGUCUUGAGUAUGAGAGAGGUGUGUGGAACUCCGAGUGUAGAGGUGAAAAUUCGUAGAUAUUCGGAAGAACACCAGUGGCGAAAGGCGACACACUGGCUCAUUACUGACGCUGAGGCUCGAAAAGCGUGGGGAGCAAAACAGGAUUAGAUACCCUGGUAGUCCACGCCGUAAAACGAUAGAUGUCUAGUUGUCGGGAGUGCAUGCAUUUCGGUUGGUACGGCGAGACUAAACCGACAAUUAAAGACAAAUACCGCCCGUCGGGGAGGGUACGGGUACGGCGAAAGAAAGUUAAAAACUUAAACUAAAAUAAGUUAAAGUUAGUAGGACGUUGAGAGNGCCGAACGGACGACGACGAGGGAGGAGGAG
Molecule: ribosomal RNA, 649 nt
Filed under: uncultured bacterium
Lineage: Bacteria
Description: bacterial SSU rRNA
Rfam family: Bacterial small subunit ribosomal RNA (bases 1-538)
Source: RNAcentral